Long non-coding RNA from Felis catus (domestic cat), 4970 nucleotides. RefSeq lists it as uncharacterized. The transcript has 3 exons. Lineage: Eukaryota; Metazoa; Chordata; Mammalia; Carnivora; Felidae. The record is from RefSeq and is a predicted model, not a curated record.
UUUCCUUCAUUUUGUCAUUUUGGAGGAAGAAGAAAAUUAAUAAAAAAAACGAAAAUUAAAAAAUUAACAAAACAAAAAAUAAAGUAAAGAAAGCUAGAUCUUAGGUGUGUUUGGUCUGAGUUUUGAAGGAAGCUUAACAGAAUGGAGAAAAAAGAGAAAUAAAAUUUAAAAAGGUACUAUAGCUGUCGUAUGUGGACUCAUUUUCCUGUAAUGUUAAUGGAGAACAUCAUGCAAAAUCUUAGAUGACUGGCACUGACUAAGGAGUGAAAAAUGUCUUCUCAACUUUAUUUGUUAAUGCUGCUCUGAUACUUUUUUACACAUAAAUAUGAAAAAGAAACCCUGUAAUGUGUUGGGAAAAAAUUCGUAUUGGUGACUCAUUGUUGAAUGAAUAUACAGAUUAGUGCUUGGUAUGGAUUUUGAGUUUUAUGUUUAUAUAAAUUUCUUUCUGUAAUAUUUGAAACUAUCUACAUGUCUUGAUAAUCCCACUACCCAAUGAGAAACUACAGUCAAUUCAAAUUAUUUAAAUGGAACCAACACACUGAAUUUUUCCAAAUAUUUGAUUAUUAAUGCAACAAUUAGCAUUUUCUAUUUCUACUAAGAUUUAAUAUGCCAAGCAAACUAAGCAAGAGAUUGUUCCUUGAAGUAUUCACAACAAGAGAGAUUUCUGCGUCAGGGACCUUUAUCUUACAAUGUCGGUUUACUCAUUAAUAUGGUAUGGUUCACCAGCCAGGGUUCUCCAGAGAAGCAGAACCAAUAGGUUGUGUGUGUGUGUGUGUGUGUGUGUGUGUGUGUGUGUAUUUUUACCCCAGAAAUUGGCUCACAUGAUUGUGGGGACUGUUAGGUCCCAGUUCUGUAGGGCAGGCUGGCAGGCUGGAGACUCAGAGAAGAGUUGGUAUAACUCUAGUUCAAAGGUAUUCUGCUACUGGCAGUGGCAGAAUACCUCCUUCCUUAGGAGACUUCAAUUUUUUUUCUUUUCAGGUCUCCAAUUAAUUAGAUGAGACUCAUCUACAGUAUGGAGGGUAAUCUGCUUUACUCAAAGUCUAUGGAUUUAAAUGUUAAUCACAUCUUAAAAAAAACACAACUUUUAUAGCAACAUCCAAACUGGUGUUUGACCAAACAUCUGGCCACCACAGCUUAGCCGCAUCAACACAUAAAAUUAACUACAAAUGGUCAUGUUUUUAACAAAUUGUGAAUUAUUCCCAAAUUCACUACAAAAUUUAAAGGCAGUACUCAUGGGGCACGUGGGUGGCUUAGUUAGUCAAAAUUUGACUUGAUUUCAGCUCAGGUCAUGAUCUCCCGGUUGGUGAGAUUGAGCCCUGCAUCAGGCUCUGCAGGGAGCAUGGAAGCUGCUUGGGAUUCUCUCUCUCCCUUUCUCUCCCCUCUCCCCUGCUUCUAUGCUUGGUCUCUCUAACAAAUAACAAAAAAAUAAAGAUUUAACUCAUAAUAAUUAAAGCAGGAAUAACUUUCCAUAAUGAGUGCAAGACAGUUUCAUAAGAUCUUAUAUACAAAGAGAAACCAAAUUGAGGUCAUUUUACUCGGUCCUACCUUUCACUUCAGGCAUAGUGUUGACUAAUGUGGAGAUGGAGUUUGAAUUUAAGGGGACAAAUGACUAGAAAACAGACUGUGUUGUCUCUAGGCUAAAUUAAGACAAAAGUUACUGUCACUUCUCUGCAGAAGUAAGAGAAGCAUCACACAAGAAUAUCUUGCCUUCCAUAUUAAGUUGUUAUGGACAGUAAUCAUAUACCACUUUUCUUCUGCACCUCAUAGAUCUUAGCAUAUUGUUGGAUAGUUGAAUUGGAAAAAAUGAAUCUUUGAAAAAGUUAACCCACAGAUUCAGUAAACAAAGGGAUCAAAUAAAGCCACAAGGGCAUCAAGGGUGCAAAUGUAUUGAAAUGUAGUGAACUGAGUGAUUGUAGGGCUGGUGAGGGAAUAAGAGAUGUUUGGGAAAGAUGCUGCUGUUGAAAAAGAAAGCAGUGAACUAGAUACUUGAGUCAUAGAGUACUACAUUUUGACAAUGUGAUGCUCUUAAAAUGUGAAUGUCCUGAGGUAGAGGUAAAUGUUUGCUAUAAAUGUGAGGAAAGGCAAGAAUAGCAUGAUGUCAAGAUGGUUUCUAAUUCAUAUAUACAUUAUAUGUUACUUAGGACGAUGGAAGUGGAUAUAAGUUGGGAAGAAAAAUGUGAGCCAAGUAUCAUGUUGUUUAGAAAGAUGGGAGAAGUUUGUGAAAGUUAGAAAGGUAAAGGUAACUGUUAGAAGCCAUUAAGCUUUUCAAGAAUGAAAAGUCCAGAGAAGGUGUUUUUUUCAUGACUCUUAAAUGGCACUGGGAAUGGAAAAUUGUGUCAGUUCAUGGCUGGUUUAGAAAAAGUAGUAUUAUGGUAUGAUAUGUGUGGACUGACCUGGAUGAAUAUAUAGGGGAAGCAACUGAGGUAAAAAGUUUGGAUCAUGAAUAGUUGGUUUGGAGAACAGCAUUGAAGAAGCUAUGGAUUGGGAAUAAGCAGAGGUCAUAUAUUGAAGACACAAUCCUCUUUCUUAGAAAUACUGAGGGAUCUAAUGCAUUAUGAACUUUGUUACACACACACACGUGCGCGUGCGCGUAUGCAUACACAUGUCCUAAUCAACAAUGCCUCAGAUUCUACAAGAAGUAGUAUGAGUAAUGUUAAAAUUCUAAAGAACAGCAGAAUGUCUUAUUGUUUAAGGACAUUGAUUUCAAACAAUCUAUAUAUACAAAAGUAUUUAAAAAUUUAAAUCUUUUCUGAAAGUAUCCCUAAGAUUGUUGUUAUAUAAUGCUAAAAUAUGUACAGCGUAUUACACAGACUUUAGAAUCAAAUUUCCUGUCCAGUGGAUUAGAAAUAUAGCCAAAGAUAUAUAAGACUUGGGAAAUAGGUUGCAUAGUAAAAGUGAAAACAAAGUGGAGCAAUUAUUAAUCUUUAACUUAAUAUAGUGGAUGGACCAAAAACACUAUCAGGUUUUUAUUUACACAUGAAUGAUGGAUGGUGAUUUACAAUGCUGAAAUAAAUCCAAGUGGUAAUUUACCUACUAGAUAUUCUGCUUCCCAUACUGUUUCAAAUAAAAAAAAAUAUUAAUACAAGUGCCAAGCACUGAGUUCAUUAAUGUUAAAUUGACACAUUUGCCUUUUAUCAUGCAACUCAACUCCAAAGGCACAUGGGGAUAGAACCUGGCCUCCAUUCAGACAAGUUUAUAAAGGAGAGCUAAGGACUCUCUAAGGCUUCUGAGUCCUUUGAUAGUCUUCUGGCAUUUACUGCUUAUGAUCUUGCCUUUCAUGCUGAAGCUUUUGUCUUCUCUGGAGGUUUGUUCUAAGGAGGAGACACAGAGAAACAUUUCCACAUAUCUGGCUCUGCCAAUUGCUCCGUAACAUUUGGGGUACCAGUAACUUCGAGAAUCCACCCAUCUCAUUAUUGCACAAAGAGCAAUCAGCUCACUUUUUCCCUUCUCAUUCUGCAGAAUGCAGCAACAUGUUCUCUGUAGGAGAAAAGCAUAAAAGCUCUCUGUCUCAUCCUGAGGGAGGAGGCUUUAUUUUCCUUCCCCUACACGAAGUUGACUAGGGCAUACUUCAGUGGCACACCUUUGACCCAUGAGUUGCCGAACUGAACUAAAUAACUCUGAGCACCUUGUGAAAGUCCUCUGGGAGAUGUCUCUUCCAGGAUGGUGUGUGUUCCUUGAAAAUGUAUAAAGGAAAAACUUUGGACUUCAAGUGAAAAGGCACGAUUUUGAAUCUAACCCUCCACCUUGCUAGCUGUGUAAAAUUAGGCAAGUCUCCUUUAUGAGUCUUCUUAUAAAAUGAGAAUAAUGAGGUUUACUCUCAAGCUGCUGUGGAGAAAUAAUGAGGUGAUAUAUGAGCAAUAGCCUGGCAAAGAUCCUGGUCCAAAAUACCCCUCCUCUAUAAAUGCUGAUUAUAUCAUGUUCUUAGUAGACAACUGAUAGAGGCCAGGCAUUGUGCUAAGUGCUUUCCGGGUAACCUACCAUGUUAUGUAAUCCUUCAGCCUUCUGGUGAGGGAGCUAUUGUGCAUCCCUAUAACUCUGAUGAGGAAAUGAAUGCUGAGAGAAUCAGAUAACUUAACAGUAAGUCUAAAUCCUGGGAUUUGAACUCAUCUGAAGAAAUACUCUAGCGUGCACUGGCUUUGGAUUUGAAGUAGAAAGUUAAAGGGUCAUAAAAAAGGAACAUAUUGGAACUCUACUGGAUUCCUGUCUUCAUAUCCAGGCUACUUAACACUUUCCUUACUUGAUGCUUGUUACCUUAUAGUCUCCCAAGAGUUACUAGAAUACAAGCUUUUUGAAGUUCUGUUUUAUUCUUUGUUCCUCUUAUUUUUAAUGUAUCAAGCACAGUACCUAAGACAUAUUAGAACUUCACUAAAAUGUUUUUGAAUGAUUAAUGAUUCAAUGUGCAGACUUGGAGUAAAGAUUUGGGAAUUGCACAGAGGGAGUAGGGCCUACAACUGCUGAAGGCUUGAAGAAUGAGGAAUGACCGUGGGUUCAGACAGGACUCUCCAAAAAUUACUAAGAACUUAAUUAGCUUGGAAACUAGCCUAAAUCUGAAGCAGAUUUUGUGGUGCUUUGAAUUUCUUUGAUAUUCCUUGUCAAACUGGCACUGAUUUAAUGAUGCUUAUGGCUCUUCAUGUUUCCAUGGAACAAGUUAGUCCCAGGCCAGUAGUGCCAUGAGUGAGCUCUAGAGAUGCACUCAGAAUUGCAGCUAUUUCAAAAUUAAAGAGAAAUAAUAGGUAAAGCAAUUUAUGGAGAAAUAUUAUACUCUGAAAAUUACAAGAAAUCAUAGCUUUUCAAAAUACUGAGAGAAAUUCUAAUGGAAUGUGGUAAUAACUUCAUCAAAGGCUUUGCCUAAGAAAAGAGGGCUUUCCUCUUGGACGUAGGUUCUGAAAAUUUUUACCUUCUUUCUCCUUAAAGCAUCUUAUGAUUUAUUCAGUAAAGGAGAAGAAACACAGAGAGAGUGAUUGAUGGCU